Molecule: ribosomal RNA, 479 nt
Filed under: uncultured organism
Description: bacterial SSU rRNA
Rfam family: Bacterial small subunit ribosomal RNA
Source: RNAcentral
GACGAACGCUGGCGGCGUGCUUAACACAUGCAAGUCGAACGAUGAAGCGGUGCUUGCACCGUGGAUGAGUGGCGAACGGGUGAGUAAUGCGUGAGUGACCUGCCCCCUUCUUCGGGAUAAGCCUUGGAAACGGGGUCUAAUACCGGAUAUUCCCUUCCUUCUGCAUGGUUGGUUGGGGAAAGUUUUUUCGGUGGGGGAUGGGCUCGCGUCCUAUCAGCUUGUUGGUGGGGUGAUGGCCUACCAAGGCGUCGACGGGUAGCCGGCCUGAGAGGGUGACCGGCCACACUGGGACUGAGAUACGGCCCAGACUCCUACGGGAGGCAGCAGUGGGGGAUAUUGCACAAUGGGCGCAAGCCUGAUGCAGCGACGCCGCGUGAGGGAUGACGGCUUUCGGGUUGUAAACCUCUUUUACUAUUGAACAAGGCGCCAUAUUGGUGGUGUUGAGGGUAGGUGGUGAAUAAGCGCCGGCUAACUACGUG